GCUCUCAAAGGAUAAUAGUUCAUCCAUUGGUCUUAGGAACCAAAGACUCUUGGUGCAAAUCCAAGUGGGAACU
Molecule: transfer RNA, 73 nt
Filed under: Gymnodiptychus pachycheilus
Lineage: Eukaryota; Metazoa; Chordata; Actinopteri; Cypriniformes; Cyprinidae
Description: tRNA-Leu
Rfam family: tRNA
About the family: Transfer RNA (tRNA) molecules are approximately 80 nucleotides in length. Their secondary structure includes four short double-helical elements and three loops (D, anti-codon, and T loops). Further hydrogen bonds mediate the characteristic L-shaped molecular structure. tRNAs have two regions of fundamental functional importance: the anti-codon, which is responsible for specific mRNA codon recognition, and the 3' end, to which the tRNAs corresponding amino acid is attached (by aminoacyl-tRNA synthetases). tRNAs cope with the degeneracy of the genetic code in two manners: having more than one tRNA (with a specific anti-codon) for a particular amino acid; and 'wobble' base-pairing, i.e. permitting non-standard base-pairing at the 3rd anti-codon position.
Source: RNAcentral